Transfer RNA from Felis catus (domestic cat), 85 nucleotides. It matches the Rfam family "tRNA". From Rfam's summary of the family: Transfer RNA (tRNA) molecules are approximately 80 nucleotides in length. Their secondary structure includes four short double-helical elements and three loops (D, anti-codon, and T loops). Further hydrogen bonds mediate the characteristic L-shaped molecular structure. tRNAs have two regions of fundamental functional importance: the anti-codon, which is responsible for specific mRNA codon recognition, and the 3' end, to which the tRNAs corresponding amino acid is attached (by aminoacyl-tRNA synthetases). tRNAs cope with the degeneracy of the genetic code in two manners: having more than one tRNA (with a specific anti-codon) for a particular amino acid; and 'wobble' base-pairing, i.e. permitting non-standard base-pairing at the 3rd anti-codon position. NCBI's taxonomy places the organism in Eukaryota, Metazoa, Chordata, Mammalia, Carnivora, Felidae. The record is from Rfam.
GCCUGGGUGGCUCAGUCAGUUGAGCGUCUGACUUCAGCUCAGAUCAUGAUCUCACAGUUCGUGGGCUCGAUCCCCGCGUCGGGCU